This 500-nucleotide ribosomal RNA is filed under the name uncultured bacterium. Its description in RNAcentral is "partial 16S ribosomal RNA". It matches the Rfam family "Bacterial small subunit ribosomal RNA", at positions 30 to 523 of the family's 1533-position model. The record is from RNAcentral.
AUUGAACGCUGGCGGAAUGCUUUACACAUGCAAGUCGAACGGCAGCACGGACUUCGGUCUGGUGGCGAGUGGCGAACGGGUGAGUAAUGUAUCGGAACGUGCCCAGUCGUGGGGGAUAACGUAGUGAAAAUUACGCUAAUACCGCAUACGAUCUAUGGAUGAAAGAGGGGGAUCGCAAGACCUCGCGCGAUCGGAGCGGCCGAUAUCAGAUUAGGUAGUUGGUGGGGUAAAGGCCCACCAAGCCAACGAUCUGUAGCUGGUCUGAGAGGACGACCAGCCACACUGGAACUGAGACACGUUCCAGACUCCUACGGGAGGCAGCAGUGGGGAAUUUUGGACAAUGGGCGAAAGCCUGAUCCAGCCAUUCCGCGUGCAGGAUGAAGGCCCUCGGGUUGUAAACUGCUUUUGUACAGAACGAAAAGGUUUCUACUAAUACUAGGAGCUCAUGACGGUACUGUAAGAAUAAGCACCGGCUAACUACGUGCCAGCCGCCGCAGUAA